UGGGGAAUAUUGGACCAUGGGGGCAACCCUGAUCCAGCCAUGCCGCGUGAGUGAUGAAGGCCCUAGGGUUGUAAAGCUCUUUUGGCAGGGACGAUAAUGACGGUACCUGCAGAAUAAGCCCCGGCUAACUUCGUGCCAGCAGCCGCGGUAAUACGAAGGGGGCUAGCGUUGUUCGGAAUUACUGGGCGUAAAGCGCGCGUAGGCGGACUGGUCAGUUGGGGGUGUAAUCCCGGGGCUCAACCUCGGAACUGCCUUCAAUACUGCCAGUCUCGAGUCCGGGAGAGGUGAGUGGAAUUCCUAGUGUAGAGGUGAAAUUCGUAGAUAUUAAGAAGAACACCAGUGGCGAAGGCGGCUCACUGGCCCGGUACUGACGCUGAGGUGCGAAAGCGUGGGGAGCAAACAGGAUUAGAUACCGCUGUAGUCC
RNAcentral lists this ribosomal RNA (424 nucleotides) under uncultured prokaryote. Its description in RNAcentral is "bacterial SSU rRNA". It matches the Rfam family "Bacterial small subunit ribosomal RNA", at positions 355 to 796 of the family's 1533-position model. The record is from RNAcentral.